GAUUAAGAACGUAGCGAAAUGCGAUAAGUAAUGCGAAUUGCAGAAUCCGUGAAUCAUCGAAUCUUUGAACGCACAUUGCGCCCCCUGGUAUUCCGGGGGGCAUGCCUGUUCGAGCGUCAUUUCACCACUCAAGCCUCGCUUGGUAUUGGGCAACGCGGUCCGCCGCGUGCCUCAAAUCGACCGGCUGGGUCUUCUGUCCCCUAAGCGUUGUGGAAACUAUUCGCUAAAGGGUGUUCGGGAGGCUACGCCGUAAAACAACCCCAUUUCUAAGGUUGACCUCGGAUCAGGUAGGGAUACCCGCUGAACUUAAGCAUAUCAAUAAGCGGAGGA
RNAcentral lists this unclassified non-coding RNA (330 nucleotides) under soil metagenome. RNAcentral's name for it is "partial contains 5.8S ribosomal RNA, internal transcribed spacer 2, and large subunit ribosomal RNA". The stretch from base 1 to 119 matches the Rfam family "5.8S ribosomal RNA", at positions 35 to 154 of the family's 154-position model. The record is from RNAcentral.